AUUGAACGCUGGCGGCAGGCCUAACACAUGCAAGUCGAACGAGUGGCGGACGGGUGAGUAAUGUCUGGGAAACUGCCUGAUGGAGGGGGAUAACUACUGGAAACGGUAGCUAAUACCGCAUACCAUCAGAUGUGCCCAGAUGGGAUUAGCUAGUUGGUGGGGUAACGGCUCACCAAGGCGACGAUCCCUAGCUGGUCUGAGAGGAUGACAAGCCACACUGGAACUGAGACACGGACCCGAUUCCUACGGGGGGCACCAGUGGGGAAUAUCGCACAAUGGGCGCAAGCCUGAUGCAGCCAUGCCGGGUGUAUGAAGGAGGCCUUCGGGUUGUAAAGUUCUUUCUGCGGGGAGGCGUUACCCGCAGAAGAAGCACCGGCUAACUCCGUGCCAGCAGCCGCGGUAAUUC
This 406-nucleotide ribosomal RNA is filed under the name uncultured bacterium. RNAcentral's name for it is "partial 16S ribosomal RNA". It matches the Rfam family "Bacterial small subunit ribosomal RNA", at positions 30 to 526 of the family's 1533-position model. The record is from RNAcentral.